AGUGAACGCUGGCGGUAGGCCUAACACAUGCAAGUCGAACGGCAGCACAGUAAGAGCUUGCCCUUACGGGUGGCGAGUGGCGGACGGGUGAGGAAUACAUCGGAAUCUACUUUUUCGUGGGGGAUAACGUAGGGAAACUUACGCUAAUACCGCAUACGACCUACGGGUGAAAGCAGGGGAUCUUCGGACCUUGCGCGAUUGAAUGAGCCGAUGUCGGAUUAGCUAGUUGGCGGGGUAAAGGCCCACCAAGGCGACGAUCCGUAGCUGGUCUGAGAGGAUGAUCAGCCACACUGGAACUGAGACACGGUCCAGACUCCUACGGGAGGCAGCAGUGGGGAAUAUUGGACAAUGGGCGCAAGCCUGAUCCAGCCAUACCGCGUGGGUGAAGAAGGCCUUCGGGUUGUAAAGCCCUUUUGUUGGGAAAGAAAAGCAGCAGGUUAAUACCCCGCUGUUCUGACGGGACCCAAAGAAUAAGCACCGGCUAACUUCGU
RNAcentral lists this ribosomal RNA (491 nucleotides) under uncultured bacterium. RNAcentral describes it as "partial 16S ribosomal RNA". It matches the Rfam family "Bacterial small subunit ribosomal RNA", at positions 29 to 506 of the family's 1533-position model. The record is from RNAcentral.